GAGUGAUUUGUGCAUAAUAGACAAAGGCGGCCAUUGUUCCUCUCACUCCUAGUGAAAAGCCAAUUGUCCCGGUUGAUAUAUUAUCGAAUAGAUAUUUGAAAAACACCUUGAGGAUUGAUUAUAAAAAACGUUUGCCAUGUUUCUGUCGAUAUUAUGGAUCUAAUUUGUCGUGACCGCAAUUUCCGGUGGAUUUCUCAACAAAACGUGAACAAGAAAAGGAGGUAUUUCGGCUAUAAAAAUAAUCUUUAUGGAACAAAAUAAACAUUUGCUGUCUAACUGGGAGUCUCGUGAGUGAAAACAUCCGAAGCUCAUCAAAGAUGUCUCUCUUUCCAUUCAUCAAAUGGCGUGAAUGCACUGUUUAGAUGCUGGAAUUACUAUGGACUGGACAAACAUGCACAGGACCUGAGCCCUAGGACCAUGCCUCAGGACUACCUGGCAUGAUGACACCUUGCUGUCCCCAGUCCACCUGGCCGUGCUGCUGCUCCAGUUUCAACUGUUCUGCCUGCGGCUAUGGAACCCUGACCUGUUCACCGGACGUGCUACCUGUCCCAGACCUGCUGUUUUCAACUCUCUAGAGACAGCAGGAGCGGUAGAGAUACUCUUAAUGAUCGGCUAUGAAAAGCCAACUGACAUUUACUCCUGAGGUGCUGACUUGCUGCACCCUCGACAACUACUGUGAUUAUUAUUAUUUGACCAUGCUGGUCAUUUAUGAACAUUUGAACAUCUUGGCCAUGUUCUCUUAUAAUCUCCACCCGGCACAGCCAGAAGAGGACUGGCCACCCCUCAUAGCUUGGUUCCUCUCUAGGUUUCUUCCUAGGUUUUGGCCUUUCUAGGCAGUUUUUCCUAGCCACCGUGCUUCUACACCUGCAUUGCUUGCUGUUUGGGGUUUUAGGCUGGGUUUCUGUAAAGCACUUAGAGAUAUCAGCUGAUGUAAGAAGGGUUAUAUAAAUACAUUUGAUUUGAUUUGAUAGCAGGAGGGUGAUGGAAGAGAGGCUAACUGCCUGUAUAGACCACCAUUGACUUCAGAGCAUCAUGUUCUGAUUAACUCCAGGGGUGCAUGAUUCCAUUUUGGUGGAUACCUUUUGCCUCCAACACAGUGUCUAAUUUAUUUUAAAUUACGCAGAGGGGAAAGGAAAGAUGGGAAACUUUCUCUCUCUCUUUUGAUUAACCGCUGUGGGAACACAAAACCAAAAGGAAUGAAGAGAAACCUUUUCAAAGUGAAAAGUUCAUUUUCCUUAGCUGGUUGGAAAAUGUUAAUUACUCAAAUCUACCAGUUUUGGGGGUCAUUAGUGUACUUCAGAAAGUUCUGCUCUUUGCCAAACUUUGCUCUAAAAUUAAGCCUCACUAGAUGGAUGUCUGAGGAUGUCCUGAGAGAGAGGUUGGCACAGGGAUACUCCACGUUGCUGCCUGCCUGCCUGCCUGCAGGCUUACUACUGCUACAAAGAGACCCACAUUUACACAGUAACUCAAAUCCAAAUUAUAACGCCAUCAAAGGAGACAUUACUUCAACCCACAUAGAUGGUUUCCUAUUCUCCCAUGAUGUGUACAGUGUGUUGUUAAUGAAGUGUGGUGCUGGCUGAGGUCCUGGGAGCCCUCUGGUCCAAAGGGCUUUGAAAGAAACUAUUCAGAACAUGGCUGAACCGGGGCCAAGUCAAACGACGCCUGCUCCUUUCAUCACAACAUCUGGGGUGCCACAAAAACAUUCUGGAAGGAUCCAGUCUGCUGAGACCCAAUCAGCUCCCAACACAUCCGUCUCCAUCCCCCUUCCUCCUCCUCAAACCUCAUCCUGCCAUCCUUCCCCCGUUCCCUGCAGGACACAAACCUCUCAUUCAUACUGCGCUGAGGAGAAAAAUAACUGCAUUCUGAGGACUAGAGGGGACACAGAC
Molecule: long non-coding RNA, 1886 nt
Organism: Oncorhynchus tshawytscha (Chinook salmon)
Lineage: Eukaryota; Metazoa; Chordata; Actinopteri; Salmoniformes; Salmonidae
Source: Ensembl